GACGAACGCUGGCGGCGUGCUUAACACAUGCAAGUCGAACGGAAAGGCCCCUUUGGGGGUACUCGAGUGGCGAACGGGUGAGUAACACGUGAGUAACCUGCCCUUGACUUCGGGAUAACUUCAGGAAACUGGGGCUAAUACCGGAUAGGAAUCAUUGCUGCAUGGUGGGGGUUGGAAAGCUUCGGCGGUUUUGGAUGGACUCGCGGCUUAUCAGCUUGUUGGUGGGGUAGUGGCUUACCAAGGCUUUGACGGGUAGCCGGCCUGAGAGGGCGACCGGCCACAUUGGGACUGAGAUACGGCCCAGACUCCUACGGGAGGCAGCAGUGGGGAAUAUUGCACAAUGGGCGGAAGCCUGAUGCAGCAACGCCGCGGGCGGGAUGACGGCCUUCGGGUUGUAAACCGCUUUCAGCAGGGGCGAAGCUUGUGGUGACGGUACCUGCAGAAGAAGCACCGGCUAACUACGUG
This 465-nucleotide ribosomal RNA is filed under the name uncultured bacterium. RNAcentral's name for it is "partial 16S ribosomal RNA". It matches the Rfam family "Bacterial small subunit ribosomal RNA", at positions 28 to 507 of the family's 1533-position model. The record is from RNAcentral.